This 459-nucleotide ribosomal RNA is filed under the name uncultured bacterium. RNAcentral's name for it is "partial 16S ribosomal RNA". It matches the Rfam family "Bacterial small subunit ribosomal RNA", at positions 338 to 795 of the family's 1533-position model. The record is from RNAcentral.
CCUACGUGAGGCAGCAGUGAGGAAUAUUGGUCAAUGGCCGAGAGGCUGAACCAGCCAAGUCGCGUGAGGGAAGAAUGUCCUAUGGAUUGUAAACCUCUUUUGUCAGGAAGCAAAGUCACCCACGUGUGGGUGUUGGAGAGUACCUGCAGAACAAGCAUCGGCUAACUCCGUGCCAGCAGCCGCGGUAAUACGGAGGCUGCGAGCGUUAUCCGGCUUUAUUGGGUUUAACGGGUUCGUGGGCGGGUUAUCAAGUCAGCGGUAAAAUCGGGGAGCUCAACUCCAUCAAGCCGUUGAAACUGAUGAUCUUGAGUGUGCGAGAAGGAUGCGGAAUGCGUGGUGUAGCGGUGAAAUGCAUAGAUAUCACGCAGAACUCCGAUUGCGAAGGCAGCAUACCGGCGCCCGACUGACGCUGAAGCACGAAAGCGUGGGUAUCGAACAGGAUUAGAUACCCUAGUAGUC